AUGUCCAGGAUCACCGCGGUAACGAUCUUGCUCAUCAUUCUCGUCAACAGCUUGUGCAGCAGCGCAGCAGCUCCUUCCCAUGGAGUAUCCCUGUAUAUUCGCAAGUGCAGAUGCACAGAGAUUUCCACAGGCAGGUUUAAGUGUCCCAAACCGCUCAUGCCCACAAACUACAACAAGGAGCGGGAUGUGUUAAAAUGCAUCUGCAAAAAAAUACAAGAAGAGAAGCGUUCAGAUCUUCUGCAGUUCUGCCGUAUGAACUACAAAAACAAGUUUACUACAGUGCUCUAAGAUAAACAAGUCCAGUCACUGACUAACCAAACUUAAUAUCCUGUUACGUAUGACAAUAAUCUUGUUAUGUAGAUGUUUGUGAUUUUUUCUGAAAUUGUAAAUAAAGACAGAUAUUUUUUUAUUACAUAGAGUCUCGUGUCCUUUUGUGUUUCCACAUAUUUAACUGAAAAAGUCCUCAACCUUGAAAACAAAUAAAAUGAACAUUUUUAAUAUCCAAUUAUUCAAUUUUUUGUCCUUUUUUUUUAGUAUUUUGAAACUUUAAAAAUAUGAAAGGGAAACCAUUAUUGUUAAAUGUGAUCUGGUCUCACUCUGAAUUGUGUUCAUAGAUUUCAUAGAGACAAUAACAUAAAUACAUUGAUUAACAGUGAACCAUUUCUAUGGAGGAUUACUUGUUUCCCAGCUUCCUGCCCUCCAGUCUUUAUGUUGAACUAUAGUAAAAGAAGUUCAGCACAAAAGUGAGAGUGGUUUCUAUGUCAUCCAGAGUUAAACAAGAGAUUAAAGGGACAUUUUCCCUAAAUGUCAUCAAAGCGUGUGUUGCUUCAAUGGCAGGAAUGCUUGUGAAAUAAACGACUCAUUUCUUCAAUGCUGUUACGAAAUCCUCACCACACAGGCAGGAAUGUCCACUGAUAUAUAAACUGAUGAUACCGUUCAUCUUCUUUUUUCAAACGUUCGAAUUUAUUUUUAUGCCUUCAACUGAAAACAACAAUGAAACAACAAAAUCAAGACACAGAAUCACUUCACAUGAUAGCCUCACACGUCCUGUUCUUGUCUUACUGUCAGUUACUGUUAAUAAUCAGGUCCUACAUUUCUGAGCAGACUUGAUAUAUUUUCAGGCUGUAGCAUUUUUAAUGCUACCAGAGCUGAUUUCUGUUAGCUGUGGCCCUUGAAGAAGUAGACCAAAGUUUUGUUUGAUAGAGGCAUCGAUUCACAACUUUAUCUGCCAAGACAAAGGAAUAUUUAGAUAUCAGCACACCAGCACUGCACAUGUGGACAUGCUUCAAUAGGAAUUGCCUUUGCAAAUCAUUUUGUGUAACUUUCAAACUUAAAUAGUCGUAUUUUCCUUUAGUUGAAAGCACUAAUGGAAACAAUUGACAUUAGCCCAUUGUACCAACACAGGCACACUCUCUGUUACUGAAUAGUGAAGUAAAACCUGUGGGCCAUGAGUCCUUUUAGAGUUCUCUCUUUGAAACCCAAAUCCUGCAGGUCAGCAGACAUAACUGUCAUGUGAACACAGAGGCUUGUUUUUCCAAAUAAUACGAUCCAUCUGAUUUCAGGUUUAUAGCAGAACUCUGCAGGCAAAGCGCCAUUUUGUCUCUAAUGUUCCUCAAAGGCUUGUAGGAGCAAGUCCACUCGGCAGCAGCCAUCUUGGCAACAAUUUCAUGAAGUUUUUUCCAGCUAAACAAGUCUUUAUCGAUAAGGAAGGGUUCAUAUCCAUAGCAUUAAAACAUUAAAACUUCAUAGACCAGUGCAAAAACAUGUCUGGCUUGUUAUCAUUUAGAUCGCACUACCAAAUGAUUCUUUGGGUCUAGUGGGGGACAGCCUCCAUCUUUGGUUACACUGAACUCUCCUACACACAUCUGUUCAGGAUCCAUUGAGUCUCUCUGAUGAAGCCUGGUUUUAAAUUUACACCUCAGUAAUGCCACAGUGCAAAAAUUGUGGCCAGCACUCAGUUUUCCAAUGAUUUGGAUAAGUUCUAAGAUUUUACAGAUGAAUCCAUGCAAAGCUGAGAUAGCAUCUGAACAACAAAACAGAAACAUUAACAAACAAGAAAACAUCCCCCUUAAACAUGUCAGGACUGAUCUGUAAGUUCAAACUCCCCACACCGUGUCAGUGUGGACUCGCUGCGGGGGUAUAUAACUCCCCGCAGAUCCUCGUCUUCUGCAGAAGAAUCUGAACACGUCAGCGGGAACAGACGAACCUUCGCCAUCAUGUCCAGGAUCACAGGGAUCACGCUGCUGCUCAUCGUUCUGGUCAGCAGCUUGUGUGACAGCACAG
This is a long non-coding RNA of Oreochromis niloticus (Nile tilapia), 2283 nucleotides long. The record is from Ensembl. Lineage: Eukaryota; Metazoa; Chordata; Actinopteri; Cichliformes; Cichlidae.